GCUUCGGGGAGGUGGGCAGGAAAGGGCACGCAGCCCUAAGUGACUCUCGGCUGAGACUGCCUCUCCUCAUCCCAGCAGUAGCCAGCCAAUGAAAAAUAGGCUCAGGGGGUUCCCGAGCCAAUGGAAGCCCGCGGGCCGUGAGGACUUGCCACUAGAAACGUUUAUGGUGUCCCGGCCCGGAGACUUCUGUGUGUUUGUUAGGCGGGGCGGGGGGCGUCUUCCCAGCAGCCCAGGACAGGUGUGUGCCCAGGCGGAUUAGAGCGCCUGCUGUUGUUUUGAAGAAUGGAUGGUUACAUAACAGAUGGCCAGCUGGUCUACCUAGAAGGGCCUUACAAAGGACAGUGCCUCCGUGGGGAAGGCUCACCCUGGAUCAGACGCCGGAUUGCAGAUUUACCAUGAAUGAAGCCCUUGGAGACUGAAUCAUGUUAAAAAUUCAAAAACAACUCAGUAAAUAUUUAUUUGAAGUCCUGCUGUUCUUCAAGGCCCUGGAAUGCAGAUAUGAGAAGAGUCACUGCUGCCCAAGAGCUGACUGACUGUGGAGGAAGACCAUGCUAGCAGGUGGCUACGUUUUCUACCACCUAGCACCUGCUCCCCCUUCUCCUGGUAAUGGUAUCUGCAAAUAAUCUCCUCAGUCUGUGUGCUUUCAGUGGAACUGAAUCUACCCCUGGUUCAAGAGCUCAGGUACAGCCUCUGGCCUGGCUGCAGUGAUUAGUUUAGAGAUGGACUUGUAACCUCAUCAAAGCCCGAUAUUGUUCAGGGUAACAUACUAGAUAUAUUUUGCUAGGAUUGCCAAUAAUCAUUUAUUUAAGCUCCUUAGAUGAGGUUUCCUGUCAUUUGCAACUGAAAAAGCUCUGUGUAGCAGGUUGAAUAGUGUUCACCCCCUGCCCAAAAAAUACACUCACAUCCACCCAGAACUUUGGAACUUUAGAAUAUGAUCUUAUUUAUUUAUUUAUUUAUUUGAGACAGAGACUCACUCUGUCGCCAGGCUAGAGUGCAGUGGCAUGAUCUCAGCUCACUGCAACCUCAGCCUCCCAAGAAGCUGGGACUACAGGUAUGUGCCACCACGCCCAGCUAAUUUUUGUAUUUUUAGUAGAGACGGGGUUUCACCAUGUUGGCCAGGAUGGUCUAUCUCUUGACCUCAUGAUCUGCCCACCUCAACCUCCCAAAGUGCUGGGAUUACAGGUGUGAGCGACGGUGCCUGGCCUGAUCUUAUUUUUAAAAGAGCCUUUACAGAUGUAAUUAGUUAAGGAUCUUGAGAUGCAAUCAUUAUGGAUGUAAAUUUAGGUGGGCCCUAAAUCUAACAAUUGGUGUCCUUAUAUGAUGAGGAGAUAUCACAGACGCAAAGACACAGGGCAUAUGACCAUGUGAAGAGGAAGGCAGAGGGUAGGGCGAUGCUGCCGUAAGACAAGGAUGCCUGGGCCACCAGAGGCUAGGAAGGGGCAAGGAAGGCCCUCCCCCUUAGAGCCUUCAGGGGGAGCAUAGCUCUCCUGACACUUUGAUUUCCAACUUCUAGCCUCCAGAAUGGUGAGAGAGAAUUUUCCACUGUUUUUAAGCCAACCAGCUUGUGACACUUGGUUAAUGGCAGCCCUAGGAAACAAGUGCACUCUAACAUGUGAAAUCACUCAACAGAUAUUUAUUGGUUCCUAAUAAUGUGUCUGAAAAGGACUUAGUAUAAAAUCCAAAGAAGAGGGACAUGGAGGCUGUAGAGAGGUAUUAGAGCUGGGACAUUAGGAAGCCUAAAGAACCAUCUGUCCCACUGUCCUGCACCCCGAUGGGUGCCUCUGGAAGGGCCUGGAGAAACCAUGGAAUUUAUGUUCUUUGGGCUCCCUUUUUGUCGGGUUAAGACAGGGACUCACUCUGUCAGCCAGGCUGGAGUGCAGUGGCGCAAUCACGGCUCACUGCAGCCUCAAUCUGCCAGGCUUAAGCAAUCCUCCCAUCUCAGCCUCCCAACUAGCUGGGACUAUAGGUGCAUGCCACCACGCCCAGCUAAUUUUUGUAUUUUUGUAGAGAUAAGGUUUCAUCAUGUUGCCCAGGCUGGUCUUGAACUCCUGGGCUCAAGCCAUCCGCCCACCUCGGCCCCUCGCAGGGCUCGGAUUCCAGGCAUGAAUCCCCCCGCCCAGCCUCCCUGGGCUUUUUGCAGGUCAUUCUCCUAAUUUAUGGAUGUCCUUCCUCAGUAAGGACAUGAGCUCUGCUUGAUAUAAAUUGAAAAUAUUCGGCCGGGCACGAUGGCUCAUGCCUGUAAUCCCAGCACUUUGUGAGGCCAAGGCGGGCGAAUCACGAGGUCAGGAGUUCAAGACCAGCCUGACCAAUAUGGUGAAACCCCGUCUCUACUAAAAAUACAAAAAUUAGCCGGGCGUGGUGGUGCAUGCCUGUAAUCCCAGCUACUCGGGAGGCUGAGGAAGGAGAAUCACUUGAACCUGGGAGGCAGAGGUUGCAGUGAGCCCAGAUCACGCCACUGCACUCCAGCCUGGGUGACAGAGUGAGACUCCGUCUCAAAAAAAAAAAAAAAAAAGAAAGAAAAUAUUCCUCCCAGUUUGUUCUUUGACUUUGUUUAUAGUGAUUUUUGCCCUGCAGUUUUUUUUUUUUUUUUUUUGAGAUGGAGUCUUGCUCUUGUUGCCCAGGCUGGAGCGCAAUGGCAUGAUCUCAGCUCACUGCGACCCCUGACUCCCGGGUUCAAGCAAUUUUCCUGCCUCAGCCUGUUGAGUAGCUAGGAUUACAGGUAAUGCGCCAGCACGCCCGGCUAAUUUUAUAUUUUUAGUAGAGAUAGGGUUUCUCCAUGUUGGUCGGGCUGGUUUUGAACUCCCGACCUCACGUGAUCUGCCUGCCUUGGCCUCCCAAAGUGCUGGGAUUACAGGCGUGAACCACUGUGCCCAGCCCAAUUUCUAUUUUUCUUUUUCUUUUUUUUUGAGACGGAGUCUCGCUCUGUCACCCAGGCUGGAGUGCAGUGGUGCGAUCUCUGCUCACUGCAAGCUCCUCCUCCCAGGUUCACGUCAUUUUCCCACCUCAGUCUCCAGAGUAGCUGGGACUACAGGCGCCCGCCACCAUGCCUGGCUAAUUUUUUUUGUAUUUUUAGUAGAGACAGGGUUUCACCAUGUCAGCCAGGAUGGUCUCGAUCUCCUGACCUCGUGAUCCGUCCGCCUCGGCCUCCCAAAGUGCUGGGAUUACAGGUGUGAGCCACCACGCCCGGCCCCAAUUUCUGUUUUUUACAUAGUCAAAUUUAUCAACAUUUUUUAUGGCUUAUGGGUUUUGUUUUGGUUUUCUGAACUCUCUGCUCCUGUUCUUUUAUCUAGUACUCCAUAUUCUGGAGUAAGGCAGAGUCCUUUCAUAUUUACCUGUAUUUCCCUUACACUGCAUUUCGGUCACCUUUAUUGGUUUCCCAAAAACCAGCACCAGUAAUAAUAGCUACCAACCAUUGUGUCUAGGCAUUGUACUACUCAUUGAGUAUCAAUGAGUAUAAAGAGCUUUAUAUUCAGUAUCUUUCAUCUUCUCAGUAGCUCUGCAAGGUAGAUGAUAUUCUGUCCAUUUUACAGAUGAGGAAAGUAUGGCCCAAAGAAGUUACAUAAGUGGCCAGGCACAGUGGCUCAUGCCUGUAAACCCAGCACUUUGGGAGGCCAAGGUGGAAGGACCACUUGAGCCCAAGAGUUGGAGACCUG
Molecule: long non-coding RNA, 3653 nt
Filed under: Homo sapiens (human)
Lineage: Eukaryota; Metazoa; Chordata; Mammalia; Primates; Hominidae
Description: non-protein coding lnc-RAB19-3:1
Rfam family: Metazoan signal recognition particle RNA (bases 2349-2496)
Source: RNAcentral